GAGGCCAGCAGAGAAGGAAAAGAAGAAGGAAAGACUGGGAAGAAGAAGAAUUCACCCCCAAGACACGGCCUAAGCUCAAAGUUGCUAAGAAUCCACUGCACGACCGUGACGUGCAGCAGCCAGAAUCCCGACGAGACCGACCUUGCCCAGCCAACAGGGAAAGUCCACCUGCCUGAUCAGGAUUGGCCACCCGCAAUCCUCAGGACAAGUGAAACGAACUCACCACACUCUAAAGGAUGCUCUAAGAAAAAUGAGUUCUAAGAAAAGGCUGGUGCCAGCAGACCACAAGUGACCUGGGCACCAUGAUAAAGAAGUUGCUGUCGCGACUGUGUGUGUGCGUUUUCUGUUACCUGUUGUUUGUCAGGUAGUCAACCCAAUCCGUUGGCCUGUUGACAUUCAUGCAGUAAAUGUAUGGAGAAAUGAUUGCUGGAUGAUGGUACAAUGUUGGAUUAAUCCAUCAGUAUUCAAUCACACCAGCUAUUGCUUGUGUUGGGAAAAGGGAUUUGCUCAUUAUCAUAACGUAACGGCCGGCGGGCCGUCACCAGAAGCCCCAUCCCAAUCUAGUUUGUCAUUAAUGAUUGGAUAUUCUAACACUGUGAUGGGAAAUUGUACGGGACCAAAAGCCACAAUAUAGAAUAUUGCCUGCCUUAAGCGCACACGGAAACAAGACGGGGUCAAUCCUCUUAGGAUCCCUGUAUCCACCCCAAAAUGUGGAAUACUGAAGGUUAUGGGGUUUGCUUGGCAGCCAGGAGGGGACAUUGAAAUUAGGAUGCUAAUGGGGUUUAAUGAGCCUCACCUGCUUCAAAUCUGGGAAUCAAGGCCCAGCACACUGACUAUUCCCUCAGGGCAACAACUGCAAAUAUCAGGAAAUUGCCCCAAUGAGCCUGGGCAGGUGGAUAUCCGGGAUAUAGGUGAGAUAGGCCCCCCAGAAUGGAUUAAAGAAACCCAAGGCAGUGAAUAUACUAAAAAUCAACCUAAAGUUCCAUUACAAUAUCAGUGUCUGACUAAUUUUCAUAAUAUCCCUGCCCAACUAGGUGAAUAUAUAUUGCAAAACAUCUAGGUAAAAUUAAAUUUUAAAAUAAUUGCCUCCGAACCGGAUAUGCAAAAAUCAAGACGACACCCAAUAAACAGACCACAUGUGGUAAAACUGGAUCAUAGGGUGUGACAUACUAUACCUUGUGGGAGCAUCCUGUAACCCCCAUAUUCCUCAUUUACAUAUAAUGCUGAUAUUGCAUAUAAAACAUGCCAUGUGAGGUGUGAUGAAGUGGGGAGUUUUCUUGUUGUUUCCAAUGGUUUGCAUGCAGAGUGUAGGACUCAGUUUCCUUGUGUGUUACUAGUUUAACGAGGUGGUGGGAGAGGGAGUUUGUUGUUACAGAGGGACAGCGAAUGGCCUGGAGAAUGGACACUUCAGUGACGGGUGACCGGGAGGCCCAGCUCGGGAGUCAUGGCCAGUUCUGGCCAGUGGGAGGACAUGGGUUGUGGGGAGAAGACCCUGGUGACUGGACCCGCCAGUUCCAGCCAGUGGGGAAACAAAGGACGGAUGAGAGGAGAGGCCGAGAGGAGACCCAGGCAACCCUGUUGACCUGGGACAGAAGACAAAGGACAGAGGUGGCACUUGGGGGACAGUGAUAUCGGAUGCCCAGCUGGAAGGAGGGGGCUGCUGGGCUAGGAGGAGAGAGCAGACACAGCCCACCUUGAGGCAGAACAGAUCUAGAUAUGCUGUGCUGAGGGAGGCCAGGCCUGAGGCCGGAAAGUUUCCUAUGAUGGGUUCAGACGCUCAAUAAACCCUCCUGUGUUACGCCGGCUGAGUGUCACUCCGGUCUAGAGAACAGGGUUGCAUUAUUCCCUCUGGGAGUGGAGGCCACGGGGGUCCAGAGCGAGGGGACUCCCUGAGGUGGCCCACAGCAGAGACAGGCGUGCUGAGGCUCAGAGAGGUGCAGUUCCAGGAGGUGGAGGGGCUUAACCCACGAGAAAGAGCAGACCCCCAGGAAGGGCUGUCGCUCUGAAGGGGGCUCCCCACAGGGACCGUACUGAGCCAAGACAGAGCACGAGUCCUGUGAGUCUGUGAGAUGAGGUAUCAUGGCAAAGGUUAUGAUCUGCUGAAAACCAUUGUUCCAUCUAAAUAUGUGUAUCAUUCAUGCAUGUGAAGUUAUGAGAAUGUGCUGUAUGGUUGUCACCAAGAUACACUGUGGGUUUGGGAGGCACCCAGGUACUAGCUCCCCAGAGACAAUGUCAAGGAAAGUAACCAACGCCCAGGUGGGUGUCAAACCAUCAACAGCCGUUGUCCAGCAAGGGAGCUAUAAUUCAGUGACUCACCGGCAUAAGGGCACACCAGGGGAACUGCUCAGCCUUGCUUGAAGACUCAGCAAUGCUCCCUAGACAUGCCUGGACUUGUGUUCUCCGAGCACCUGGACUAAGGGUAUAAAACAGAGCACAGGGGCCCCAUCCUGGGCCUUUCUCCUCCCCCACACUACAUUGCAAGCAACAAGGACACUUGGACUACUGAAGACUCCAGCAGAGAGGACUGGCCCAGGUUUCAAGGGUGAAAGCUGUAUUCUAUGAACUGCAAUAUCCAGUAGGGUGAGAAACUGCUUUGUCUAGAUCAGGGGUCAGCAAUCUGGGC
Dermochelys coriacea (leatherback sea turtle) is the source of this 2623-nucleotide long non-coding RNA. RefSeq lists it as uncharacterized. The record is from RefSeq and is a predicted model, not a curated record. The transcript has 4 exons. Lineage: Eukaryota; Metazoa; Chordata; Testudines; Dermochelyidae.